AUCUAGGGCCAUACCACCACGAAGGCACUUGCUAAUUUCUGAGCUCAGAAGCUAAAGCAAAGUUAGCGUGAUUAGUAGUUGGUUGCAAGACCACCUGGGAAGACCAGGAGCUGCAGACC
RNAcentral lists this ribosomal RNA (119 nucleotides) under Capra hircus (goat). Lineage: Eukaryota; Metazoa; Chordata; Mammalia; Artiodactyla; Bovidae. The record is from RNAcentral.